CCCGCUGAACUUAAGCAUAUCAAUAAGCGGAGGAAAAGAAACUAACAAGGAUUCCCCUAGUAACUGCGAGUGAAGAGGGAAAAGCUCAAAUUUAAAAUCUGGCGGCACUUUUAUGCAGCCGUCCGAGUUGUAGUUUAGAGAAGUGCUAUCCGCGCUAGAACUGUGCAAAAGUUUCUUGGAAAAGAACAUCAUAGAGGGUGACAAUCCCGUCCUUGGCACAGAUUUCUUGGGGCUUUUGUGAUGCGCUCUCGACGAGUCGAGUUGUUUGGGAAUGCAGCUCUAAAUGGGUGGUAAAUUCCAUCUAAAGCUAAAUAUUGGCGAGAAACCGAUAGCGAACAAGUACCGUGAGGGAAAGAUGAAAAGAACUUUGAAAAGAGAGUUAAACAGUACGUGAAAUUGUUGAAAGGGAAACGCUUGAAGUCAGUUGUGUCUUACAGAGAUCAAGUCGACUUAAUUUGUUGGCCGUACUCUCUGGUUUUGACAGGUCAGCAUCAAUUUUGACCGCUGGAUAAAGGCCUUGGGAAUGUAGCAUCCUCGGAUGUGUUAUAAACCAUGGUUCGGAUACAGUGGUUGGGAUUGAGGAACUCAGUGUGCCUUCAAUGGUUGGGGCUUCAUUGCUCACACCUUUGCGCGCUUAGGAUGCUGGCAUAAUGGCUUUAAUCGACCCGUCUUGAAACACGG
RNAcentral lists this ribosomal RNA (681 nucleotides) under uncultured fungus. Its description in RNAcentral is "eukaryotic LSU rRNA". It matches the Rfam family "Eukaryotic large subunit ribosomal RNA", at positions 24 to 664 of the family's 3401-position model. The record is from RNAcentral. Lineage: Eukaryota; Fungi.